This is an RNA transcript of Drosophila ananassae, 1204 nucleotides long. RefSeq lists it as uncharacterized. The transcript has 2 exons. The record is from RefSeq and is a predicted model, not a curated record. Lineage: Eukaryota; Metazoa; Arthropoda; Insecta; Diptera; Drosophilidae.
ACAAAAUACCUUAAGUGAACCACACAUAAAUACAGUUAUUUGGAUUAGCUUUAAAUCAGACAUACAAAUCUAAUCCUUACAGAAUUUAAAAAAGUAUACCUUUUCUCAUACCAUUAUCAGCCUUAGUAUUUAUAACAUUUUUUUUUAUUUUAGAACCAUUUUUUAAUGAAUAGUCUUAAAAAAUAGUCUGUAUCAUUAACAUUGCAAUGUGACCAGACCUCUAAUCGAUUUCACUGAUAAAUAUUGCAAUGUGACCAGACCUCUAAUCGAUUCCACUCGUGGAUAACUUAGCUUUCAUUUCAGAACACUUUGGAACACGUUCGAAUUCGGAGGAAUUUUCUUAUUUUUUGUUAGCAUGCUUUAUUUAUAUGAACGAAAACCGAAAUGCUCGGACUCUUUGGGUUGCUAUGACAAAUUGCGAAAGGAAUGGGAAGAAAAGUCCAGGAAUCAGGAAAAUCACGAUUCAGAAAAUAUUUCCAAUGGAAAUGAAAUUGUGCAGCUUACUGAAGGCGGAGCAGGAGUUUCUAAGCGCCAAUUCCAAGGAAAUCCGGGAGUUGAGAAUGUGGAACAUCUUCGUGACAUGCAAUUUCCACCUCGAAAAAUUCCAAAAAAAGAGAUAGUACUACCCGUAGAAGAGAUGCGGCCAGUCCGACAUGAUCCUCCUUUCCGUAGGGGGGCUUUGGGGCGGCCACUUACGGCCCGGGAGCAACGAGAAUAUUGGACGAAGCUGUAUGAACACAUUGCCUGGAGUGUGAAGAGUGGCGCUUUUCAGUUGCCACCGCUAAAGCCAAAUCAAUGUUGCAAAUGCCGUCUUCACCUGACCAAUCUCGAGCAGAAAACCAAACAUGAAUUACUUUGCAAGCCGGAGCUUUACCAUCUGGGUUGUCCAUGUGGUUUUCUCACCAACAAGAUGCAAAGUUUGGCACCUCAUCGGGCAAAUUGUUCGAAGAGCAAAAAUAUUAAGAGUAUGGGUGUUUGUGGUUGGAUUCCUUUCUUGAGCCCAUCUCAACGUCAGUGGCCAAUCUUUGAUGAUCCUAACAGGACUAAUGAGUCGCACCGAUAACUUAAUUGGCCCUAUUUCAUAGAAUGUUUUGUCAUCAUUAUCAUAUACUAUUUUCACAAUUUUUAAUUUCUGCAUGAAGAGGCAGUUAUUAGUUUUAUACUUCUGUUAACUGGCCGUUGAAUAAAACAUCUUUAAAUGGAA